CAUUAUUCACUUCCCUUUGCUCUCUCUGUAUCAAAUUCCUCUCCUUUAUCUCUACAAUUUUUUCUUUUUCAAGAGUAUCCCAAACAAAAAAACCACCUUUGUCCGCCAUCUCCUCCAUCACAGGCCACCUUUUUCAAAUCCUCUUAGCUACUUCAUUCCUUUGCCUAAAUUAGAUUUUUGAAAAUUUUCACAAAAAACCCAAGAUCUAAGUUUUUGUUUAAAAAAUGUCGCCAUCUUUUCUUUUUAUUUUUGCUGCCAGAAAAAAUCUUAGCUUCCAGAAAAUUGCUUCCUCUCAUUCUCCUUUCCUUAAUCAACAAGUCUCAAGUCAUCGUAAAUCUCAAAGGAAAAAUCCAUAUUUCUUUUCUACCUUUUUUUGUUGUUGUUGUUAAUUGCAUAUGUUAUUGUUUAUUAUUGUGUAUAAUUGUGUUGAUUGAUAUUAUGUUCUUCCGUGUCGGGUUGUUGAUUGUUUGUUACUGUUGUUGCCAUCUACAUGAUCCAAAAAAAUCCUAAGAAAAACUAAGUUCGAAACCUUCAGAACUCUGUUUCCUCUUUUUUUUUUUUUUUUUUGUGAUUCUCUUUUCUGGAUGCUUAUGAAUUGCUUAUUCCUUUUUUUUUUUUUUCUAUUUUUUUAAUCUUAAAACCCUAGAAAGACAUCUCAAAAAUUGUCUUUUUGUCACUAUGUUUUUUCUAAAUCUGUUUUUUUUUUUUGUUAUGUUUUUACCCUUUCAAAUAUUUUUAUAUUUUUAUAUUUUAAUUGUAAAUAAUUAUAAUUUAUGUUUUUAGAUUAUUUUUAUUUAACUAAGGGACAAAAUGGUAUUUUUAAUGAUAUGUUUGUAACUUAGACAAUUUUAAAAAAACUUAACGAUAAUUUUCAUGUAUAAGUGUAUAUUAUGUAACAUAAAAUAAUAAAAACAAUUGUCUACUAAUAUGAUAUUAAAGACUAUUAGUUUUUUAAAAAAUUGCAAAUAUAAGAAAAGUUACAAUUAUAAUCAAUUGUUAUGUUUAUAAAUUAUUGAAUAAUCAAUUAAUAAAUUAAAAAAUAAUUAAACAAUCAAACCUACAAAUAAUGGGAGCUCAAUUUAAAAUUUCAAUAUUCUAGAACUUCUUUUUUACCACUAAGUUAAGGUGUCAUAUACUAAUAUUAAUAUUAGGCAUAAGUACAGAAAAAAAAAACCCAUGAAUUAAAAAUAAAUAACUAUAUAAACUUUUGUCAUUUUAUUACAUCCAAUUGAGCAUUCAAAUAUUUAUUUUUAUUAAUUAAGCCAUUAUUAAACGAAAAUUGUUUAAUUGUGGACAUUCAUUUUCAUUUAAUCGAAGGUUUAAUUAAGUAAAAAUAAAUGUUUAAAAGUUCAAUUGGGUGAAAAUAAAUAUUUAAUGAUUCAAUCGAAUGAAAAUAAAUAUUUGAUAAUUAAAUUGAUUUCAAUAAAAUGAUAAAAAUUUAAAUAAUUAUUAAAUUUUGUUUAGGAGUUUUUUAUACUUAAACAUUAAAGUUAUUUGUUUGAGACCGAGGGGGAACAAAAAUAGUUUGCGAUUUUUUUUGCAAUAUUUUAUUUUUAUUUUUUAAAAAAUAUUUUAAAUUCAUCUACUUUUAAAUCAUUGUUAAAAAUCAAAGAAAUAUGUGUUCAAAGUCACAUAGACAUCUUCAUAAAUCUCAAUCCAAAAAUCAAACGUGUAACACCUUUUUGUCACGUGAACAUCAAAGUGUUUAUUCACUAGAUUUU
RNAcentral lists this long non-coding RNA (1721 nucleotides) under Durio zibethinus. Its description in RNAcentral is "long non-coding RNA (DZIB_LNC000111)". Lineage: Eukaryota; Viridiplantae; Streptophyta; Magnoliopsida; Malvales; Malvaceae. The record is from RNAcentral.